Molecule: ribosomal RNA, 136 nt
Filed under: Antipathes griggi
Lineage: Eukaryota; Metazoa; Cnidaria; Anthozoa; Antipatharia; Antipathidae
Also listed under: 2 other names
Description: partial 5.8S ribosomal RNA
Rfam family: 5.8S ribosomal RNA
About the family: 5.8S ribosomal RNA (5.8S rRNA) is a component of the large subunit of the eukaryotic ribosome. It is transcribed by RNA polymerase I as part of the 45S precursor that also contains 18S and 28S rRNA.
Source: RNAcentral
CAACUUUUAACGGUGGAUCUCUUGGCUCGUGCAUCGAUGAAGAACGCAGCCAGGUGCGAUAAGUAGUGUGAAUUGCAGAAUUCAGUGAAUCAUCGAAUCUUUGAACGCAAAUGGCGCUCUUGGGUUCUCCCAGGAG